Molecule: ribosomal RNA, 1123 nt
Filed under: uncultured bacterium
Lineage: Bacteria
Description: bacterial SSU rRNA
Rfam family: Bacterial small subunit ribosomal RNA
Source: RNAcentral
AUUGAUUUUAUGCUUGCAUAAAUGAUUUUUGGAUUCGGAGCGAGUGGCGAACUGGUGAGUAACACGUGGGUAACCUGCCCCGAAGCGGGGGAUAACAUUUGGAAACAAGUGCUAAUACCGCAUAAUUAGUUGGAACCGCAUGGUUCCAACUUGAAAGAUGGCUCUGCUAUCACUUUGGGAUGGACCCGCGCCGUAUUAGUUAGUUGGUGAGAUAAAAGCCCACCAAGACGAUGAUACGUAGCCGACCUGAGAGGGUAAUCGGCCACAUUGGGACUGAGACACGGCCCAGACUCCUACGGGAGGCAGCAGUAGGGAAUCUUCCACAAUGGACGAAAGUCUGAUGGAGCAACGCCGCGUGAGUGAUGAAGGGUUUCGGCUCGUAAAACUCUGUUGUUAAAGAAGAACAAGUGUUAGAGUAACUGUUAACACUUUGACGGUAUUUAACCAGAAAGCCACGGCUAACUACGUGCCAGCAGCCGCGGUAAUACGUAGGUGGCAAGCGUUGUCCGGAUUUAUUGGGCGUAAAGCGAGCGCAGGCGGUUUUGUAAGUCUGCUGUGAAAGCCCUCAGCUCAACUGAGGAAGUGCAGUGGAAACUACAAAACUUGAGUACAGAAGAGGAAAGUGGAACUCCAUGUGUAGCGGUGAAAUGCGUAGAUAUAUGGAAGAACACCAGUGGCGAAGGCGGCUUUCUGGUCUGUUACUGACGCUGAGGCUCGAAAGCAUGGGUAGCGAACAGGAUUAGAUACCCUGGUAGUCCAUGCCGUAAACGAUGAAUACUAGGUGUUGGAGGGUUUCCGCCCUUCAGUGCCGCAGCUAACGCAUUAAGUAUUCCGCCUGGGGAGUACGACCGCAAGGUUGAAACUCAAAGGAAUUGACGGGGGCCCGCGCAAGUGGUGGAGCAUGUGGUUUAAUUCGAUGCUACGCGAAGAACCUUACCAGCUCUUGACAUCUUCUGCCAACCCAAGAGAUUGGGCGUUCCCUUCGGGGACAGAAUGACAGGUGGUGCAUGGUUGUCGUCAGCUCGUGUCGUGAGAUGUUGGGUUAAGUCCCGCAACGAGCGCAACCCUUAUUAUUAGUUGCCAGCAUUUAGUUGGGCACUCUAGUGAGACUGCCGGUGAUAAA